AUACGGAGGGAGCUAGCGUUGUUCGGAAAUACUGGGCGUAAAGCGCACGUAGGCGGCGCCGUAAGUCAGGGGUGAAAUCCCGGGGCUCAACCCCGGAACUGCCCUUGAAACUGCAGUGCUAGAAUCUUGGAGAGGCGAGUGGAAUUCCGAGUGUAGAGGUGAAAUUCGUAGAUAUUCGGAAGAACACCAGUGGCGAAGGCGACUCGCUGGACAAGUAUUGACGCUGAGGUGCGAAAGCGUGGGGAGCAAACAGGA
Molecule: ribosomal RNA, 255 nt
Filed under: uncultured prokaryote
Description: partial 16S ribosomal RNA
Rfam family: Bacterial small subunit ribosomal RNA
Source: RNAcentral